CAAUAGCGUAUAUUUAAGUUGCUGCAGUUAAAAAGCUCGUAGUUGGAUUUCGGGUGGGAAUGGCCGGUCCGCCGUUUCGGUGUGCACUUGCUACGCCCACCUUGCUGCCGGGGACGUGCUCUUGAGUUCACGCUCGGGACACGGAGUCGGCGAGGUUACUUUGAGUAAAUUAGAGUGUUCAAAGCAGGCCUACGCUCUGAAUACAUUAGCAUGGAAUAACACGAUAGGACUCUGGCCUAUCUUGUUGGUCUGUAGGACCGGAGUAAUGAUUAAGAGGGACAGUCGGGGGCAUUCGUAUUUCAUUGUCAGAGGUGAAAUUCUUGGAUUUAUGAAAGACGAACUACUGCGAAAGCAUUUGCCAAGGAUGUUUUUAUUAA
This 377-nucleotide ribosomal RNA is filed under the name uncultured eukaryote. RNAcentral's name for it is "partial 18S ribosomal RNA". It matches the Rfam family "Eukaryotic small subunit ribosomal RNA", at positions 592 to 976 of the family's 1831-position model. The record is from RNAcentral.